This is a long non-coding RNA of Mauremys mutica (yellowpond turtle), 1365 nucleotides long. RefSeq lists it as uncharacterized. The record is from RefSeq and is a predicted model, not a curated record. The transcript is spliced from 3 exons. NCBI's taxonomy places the organism in Eukaryota, Metazoa, Chordata, Testudines, Geoemydidae.
CUCCCCUCCCCCGCUGUUGCUAUGGGUUGCGGUUGCUACGAGUUACCGGAUCAAGGCCGGCGAGCUGCUUUACCUGACAAACAGCCCCCGGCAGAGCCUGGGCGCAUGGAGGCGCCUGGAAGAGAUUCACGGGCGGGGAGGGAGCUGCCGCGAGAGCCCCCUGCACACACAGUCAGUCUGUGCUUGCAGCUGCAGGAAAAACUACAGCAAGUGGGGUGGGAGGGAAGAGAGGAUGAAGGCCCUGAGGAAAACGUCGUUUCAAAGAGGCAAACUUAUGAAUUGCAUCAGCAACAGAAUAUUUUGUCUGUCCAGAUACACAAGCCUCAAUAUCUUCUGGACUUAGCUGAGUCUGUAAGAAGAGGUGAAGUCUACUGUCCGAAAGCAAUAAUGCAUUUUGUAGGAUCCUUUAAAAAAAGAAAAAACACACAAUUACUAGAACAAUUUCUCUGAGGUGUCCUGCUUUUAAAUGAAUCCCAAAUUAGCUUCAGAAUGCACUGCAUAUAAUAAAAUGAUUAGUGCCAUCUGGAGGUUAAAUGAGUGAAGAAAGAGAGGAAGAAUUAGAGAAAGAUGCUCAUUGAACCAAUCCCACACAGUCCAUCUAGAAGGGAAAACAUUUAGAGUUCUUUACUAACCACUGUAAGCCAACAUGUGAGCAGUCAUAGAAGCACUCUUCACCUAGGCAUGCCCUUGGAAUGCCUGCUCUACUUUUUAAUUGAGAAAUGACAACUUUUGCUUUCUUCCUUCUGCACCAUCCGCUUAUAUUGCUUGAAGGAUGUAAUUAAAAAGCCAUCAAAAUGAAAAAUAAAGUGUCUGCACUAUUCAGUUCUAACUGUUAGUUUUUAUGUUCAAAAUAUUCAUACCUCUAAAACAAGGACAUGCAUGCUUUGUCGCCCGUUGUUAGUACUGUGGAAUAUUAUUAUUACAGUAGCACUCAGGGGCCUCAACUAGGUUGGGGCCCCAUUGUGCUAGGUGCUGUACAAGCACAUAAAAAGUGACAGUUUCUGCCCUAAAGAGCUUGCAGUCUAAAUGACAAGACAUGACAUGUAGAUGAAACAAACAACUGGGCACAAAGAAGCGGAGAAGGCAGGGGGAGGUAACAUACAAUUAGGAUGUUUUAGCACCGACUAACCAUGUGUCCAAUUUUUAGCCAACCAGCAAUUAUCACAAUGUUUGAUGAUCAGCAGCCUGUUCAUUAUAGCAAAUACCAACACAGGAACAGAUUCUGACCCCAGCUGCUCUGAUGUAAAUCUUCAGUAAAUGAGAUCAAAAUCUGGCCCACACAGUUAAUUUAUUAAAAAAAAAAAAAUCACAGCUCACACUGAUAAUUCUAGUAUCACCUGAAAAAAACUGACAUGGCAGAUUUAA